RNAcentral lists this ribosomal RNA (233 nucleotides) under Klebsiella pneumoniae. RNAcentral's name for it is "partial 23S ribosomal RNA". It matches the Rfam family "Bacterial large subunit ribosomal RNA", at positions 1 to 225 of the family's 2925-position model. Lineage: Bacteria; Pseudomonadati; Pseudomonadota; Gammaproteobacteria; Enterobacterales; Enterobacteriaceae. The record is from RNAcentral.
GGGUUGUGAGGUUAAGCGACUAAGCGUACACGGUGGAUGCCCUGGCAGUCAGAGGCGAUGAAGGACGUGCUAAUCUGCGAAAAGCGUCGGUAAGGUGAUAUGAACCGUUACAGCCGGCGAUGUCCGAAUGGGGAAACCCAGUGCAAUUCGUUGCACUAUCGUUAACUGAAUACAUAGGUUAACGAGGCGAACCGGGGGAACUGAAACAUCUAAGUACCCCGAGGAAAAGAAAU